UAAAAAAUGCGUAAUAGCUUACUCAUCGAGUGAUCCUGCGCCGAAAAUGAUUGGCGAUCAAGCGUUAUACCGAAGCUCUGGACUUUGCCGCAAGGCAGAGUGGUAGAAGAGCGUUGCAUGCGCGUCGAAGGGCGAUGGCGACUGACCCUGGAGCACAUGCAAGUGAGUAUGCAGACAUGAGUAACGUUAAGCCGGGUGAAAUCCCCGGCCGCCGUAAACCCGAGGUUUCCAGGGCAACGUGUUUCGUCCCUGGGUUAGCCGGGACCUAAGCCGAGGCCGAGAGGCGUAGGCGAUGGACAUCAGGUUAAUAAUCCUGAGCUCGCAACCCUUAAACUGGGGGGACGCAUGAGAAAAGAUGACUAGGUUAUUGAAUUCCGAGUUGAGUCCACGGACUCAGCGCAUCAUUGGAUCGAGUGCCAAGAAAAGCCCCAGCGUAUGCUAAGCGACCCGUACCGCAAACCGACACAGGUGGGUGGGUAGAAUAUACCAAGGCGUAAGAGUGAAACCUGGUUAAGGAACUCGGCAAAUUAGCCCCGUAACUUCGGAAGAAGGGGUGCCUGCAGCGAUGCAGGCCGCAGAGAAAUGGCCCAACCGACUGUUUAUCAAAAACACAGCACUCUGCAAAGACGCAAGUCGAAGUAUAGGGUGUGACACGUGACCAAUGCCGAAAGAUUAAGGCAAGGGGUUAGCCGCAAGGCGAAGCUCUAAACCCAAGUCCCGGUGAAUGUCGGCCGUAACUAUAACGGUCCUAAGGUAGCGAAAUUCCUUGUCGGGUAAGUUCCGACCUGCACGAAUCGUGAAACGAGUUGGGCACUGUCUCAACCAGGCGCUCAGUGAAAUUGUAGUGGCGGUGAAGAUGCCGCCUACCCGCAGAAGGACGGAAAGACCCUAUAGACCUUAACUGUAAGCUGUCAUUGUUUCUUCGGUUUUAAUGCUCAGAGUAAGUGGGAGACGCUGAAGACGCCCUUUAGGGGGCGUCCGAGUCAUCAAUGAGACACCACCCUUUGAAACUGGAGGAUCUAACCCUGAGCCGUGAAUCCGGCCAGAGGACCGUGUCAGCCGGUCAGUUUUACUGGGGCGGUAUCCUCCCAAAGAGUAACGGAGGAGCGCGAAGGUGGGCUCAGCCCGGUUGGCAACCGGGUGUCGAGUGCAUGGGCAUAAGCCCGCCUAACUGUGAGACCAACAAGUCGAGCAGAUGCGAAAGCAGGCCCAAGUGAUCCGGCGGUAGAAAGUGGAAUUGCCGUCGCUCAACGGAUAAAAGGUACCUUAGGGAUAACAGGCUGAUCACGCCCAAGAGUUCAUAUCGACGGCGUGGUUUGGCACCUCGAUGUCGGCUCGUCGCAUCCUGGGGCUGGAGAAGGUCCCAAGGGUCCGGCUGUUCGCCGGUUAAAGCGGCACGCGAGCUGGGUUCAGAACGUCGCGAGACAGUUCGGUCCUCUAUCCUCUGUGGGCGUUGGAAAAUUGAGGGGUUCAGACCUUAGUACGAGAGGACCGGGUCUGACGCACCACUGGUGCAUCGGUUGUACUGUCAAGUGCAUGGCCGAGUAGCUAAGUGCGGACGGGAUAAGCGCUGAAAGCAUCUAAGCGCCAAGCCCUUCCCAAGAUGAGUUUUCCCUACAGGUUCGUGGAAGACCACCACGUUGAUAGGUCGCAGGUGUAAGUGCAGCAAUGUAUUGAGCCGAGCGAUACUAAUUACCAAUUGACUUCAUCAU
This 1712-nucleotide ribosomal RNA is filed under the name human gut metagenome. RNAcentral's name for it is "bacterial LSU rRNA". It matches the Rfam family "Bacterial large subunit ribosomal RNA", at positions 1124 to 2925 of the family's 2925-position model. The record is from RNAcentral.